ACGCCGCGUGAGUGAAGAAGGUUUUCGGAUCGUAAAGCUCUGUUGUUAAGGAAGAACGAGUGUGAGAAUGGAAAGUUCAUACUGUGACGGUACUUAACCAGAAAGGGACGGCUAACUACGUGCCAGCAGCCGCGGUAAUACGUAGGUCCCGAGCGUUGUCCGGAUUUAUUGGGCGUAAAGCGAGCGCAGGCGGUUAGAAAAGUCUGAAGUGAAAGGCAGUGGCUCAACCAUUGUAGGCUUUGGAAACUGUUUAACUUGAGUGCAGAAGGGGAGAGUGGAAUUCCAUGUGUAGCGGUGAAAUGCGUAGAUAUAUGGAGGAACACCGGUGGCGAAAGCGGCUCUCUGGUCUGUAGACUGACGCUGAGGCUCGAAAGCGUGGGGAGCGAACAGGAUUAGAUACCCUGGUAGUCCACGCCGUAAACGAUGAGUGCUAGGUGUUAGGUCCUUUCCGGGACUUAGUGCCGCAGCUACGCAUUAGCACU
This 482-nucleotide ribosomal RNA is filed under the name Streptococcus anginosus. Its description in RNAcentral is "bacterial SSU rRNA". It matches the Rfam family "Bacterial small subunit ribosomal RNA", at positions 394 to 868 of the family's 1533-position model. Lineage: Bacteria; Bacillati; Bacillota; Bacilli; Lactobacillales; Streptococcaceae. The record is from RNAcentral.